UACAGAGGCCUCAAGCGUUGUUCGGAAUUACUGGGCGUAAAGCGAAUGUAGGUGGUGAUGCAAGUCAGAUGUGAAAGCCCUGGGCUCAACCCGGGAAUUGCAUUUGAUACUGCGACGCUAGAGUGCGGGAGAGGUAAGUGGAAUUCCUGGUGUAGGGGUGAAAUCCGUAGAUAUCAGGAGGAAUACCGAUGGCGUAGGCAACUUACUGGCCCGUAACUGACACUGAGAUUCGAAAGCAUGGGUAGCAAACAGG
Molecule: ribosomal RNA, 253 nt
Filed under: uncultured bacterium
Lineage: Bacteria
Description: partial 16S ribosomal RNA
Rfam family: Bacterial small subunit ribosomal RNA
Source: RNAcentral